Myiozetetes cayanensis is the source of this 677-nucleotide long non-coding RNA. RefSeq lists it as uncharacterized. Lineage: Eukaryota; Metazoa; Chordata; Aves; Passeriformes; Tyrannidae. The transcript has 4 exons. The record is from RefSeq and is a predicted model, not a curated record.
UUGACAUUUGCACUCUGCCAGCACCAGUGAAUGUCUGCAGUGCACUAGUAAGGAACAUGUGGGAGCAGGAGGCCUUCAGCUUUUUCUAUUGAAGGAAGACAGCAGAAGGACUAGCUGGUAAAAUGAUUGUCAGAAGACUUCAACAGGAAUAAAAUAGGAAUUUAGAAAGAGUGGCAGUGAGAACCAUCACACUGCAUUCUGCCAGAAGAGGCUGGAAACACUUCAAAAAAAGAAAACAGCUUGGAGGAGUCCAAAGUUGCUGGCUGGCCUAUGGAGCAGAUCCAGUUGAUCUUUCUACAGAACAAGGUGAUCCACCCAAACCUAGCAGCUGCAACUUGCUGUGAUUCACACGGAGAGGAAUGUGGUGUUACACAGGAUUUUGUACAGAGGCAGAAGCAAAUCAAGGAUUUGGAGGGCUGAUCUACAACACACACACAUGGCUUCCUUUGUAGUCAAAUUCUAAGUAACCUGUAGAACUAGUUUGCAGCUUGAAAGUGGAUGAGUUAAGUGCCACUGAAGUAUUUUUUUAAGUGCCACAGGUGUUUGUAAAGUAAUUGUCUGUACUCGUUUGAUGAGCUUUGCCUGAAGGUUAAUGACUGUAAACAUUCUUGCAUAAUAAAAGUCUUCAUUAGCAGAUCGUUAGCGAUUGUCUUGGAAAGAAAAAUAUGUAAGAGCUG